UUCAGGAUGAUCGCUUUUAUUGCAUUUUUGACAUGGAAAAUCAUCUACAUCUUCUGCAUCGGAUUCUAAAAAUCGCAGUUUCAUAUUAGCAAUAGAUAUUUUAAUGUGCCAUUAGAGUAUAAAAUUAUGCUUAAAAAUGCGUUUUUUUUCUCAGGUGUUUACUUGUUGACAACUGUCAUGUACAAACUACGUCAUCGAACAGUAUUUAAACAAGUAACAUUUAAUUUUUGUCCGUUUAAUUACAAAAUCUGAGACAAAAUUGAUGUUUCUGAAUGAGAAGACCAUUACUGCCGAACUGGUCGUUCGGUAUUGUGAUCAAGAAUUAAAUAUUACCGGACCGACUUUGCAGCGAAUUUUGACGACAAGUGUCCCUAAGGAAGCCGAUAUACAGUGCGAGUUUCUAACUUGGAAUAAAUUCACUAAAUCAAAGGGUAUCUAAAAUGUGAGAUAUGAAGUCAUCGAAUUUUUUGUUUAAAA
This is a long non-coding RNA of Anthonomus grandis grandis, 477 nucleotides long. RefSeq lists it as uncharacterized. The record is from RefSeq and is a predicted model, not a curated record. Lineage: Eukaryota; Metazoa; Arthropoda; Insecta; Coleoptera; Curculionidae. The transcript is spliced from 3 exons.